GUAGGUGGCAAGCGUUGUCCGGAAUUAUUGGGCGUAAAGCGCGCGCAGGCGGUUCUUUAAGUCUGAUGUGAAAGCCCACGGCUCAACCGUGGAGGGCCAUUGGAAACUGGAGAACUUGAGUACAGAAGAGGAAAGCGGAAUUCCACGUGUAGCGGUGAAAUGCGUAGAGAUGUGGAGGAACACCAGUGGCGAAGGCGGCUUUCUGGUCUGUAACUGACGCUGAGGCGCGAAAGCGUGGGGAGCAAACAGGGAUUAGAUACCCUGGUAGUCCACGCCGUAAACGAUGAGUGCUAAGUGUUAGGGGGGUUUCCGCCCCCUUAGUGCUGCAGCUAACGCAUUAAGCACUCCGCCUGGGGAGUACGGCCGCAAGGCUG
Molecule: ribosomal RNA, 374 nt
Filed under: uncultured organism
Description: partial 16S ribosomal RNA
Rfam family: Bacterial small subunit ribosomal RNA
Source: RNAcentral